AUUGAACGCUGGCGGCAUGCCUUACACAUGCAAGUCGGACGGCAGCGGGGGAGAAGCUUGCUUUUCCUGCCGGCGAGUGGCGAACGGGUGAGUAAUACAUCGGAACGUGCCCUGUAGUGGGGGAUCACUAGUCGAAAGAUUAGCUAAUACCGCACACGACCAGCGGGUGAAAGUGGGGGACGGCAUGGCCUCCUGCCAUAGGAGCGGGCGAUGUCUGAUUAGCUCGUUGGUGGGGUAAAGGCCUACCAAGGCGACCAUCAGUAUCUGGUCUGGGAGGGCGAUCAGCCCCACUGGGACUGAGACACAGCCCAGACUCCUACGGGAGGCAGCAGUGGAGAAUUUUGGACAAUGGGCGAAAGCCUGAUCCAGCAAUGCCGCGUGUGUGAAGAAGGCCUUCGGGUUGUAAAGCACUUUUGUCCGGAAAGAAAUGGCUCUGGUUAAUACCUGGGGUCGAUGACGGUACCGGAAGAAUAAGGACCGGCUAACUACGUGCCAGCCGCCGCUGUAA
RNAcentral lists this ribosomal RNA (508 nucleotides) under uncultured bacterium. RNAcentral's name for it is "partial 16S ribosomal RNA". It matches the Rfam family "Bacterial small subunit ribosomal RNA", at positions 30 to 523 of the family's 1533-position model. The record is from RNAcentral.